UCACACAGCAGUACAGAGAGGUAACACACAGGACCUCACACAGCAGUACAGAGAGGUAACACACAGUACCUCACACAGCAGUACAGAGAGGUAACACAGGACCUCACACAGCAGUACAGAGAGGUAACACACAGGACCUCACACAGCAGUACAGAGAGGUAACACACAGGACCUCACACAGCAGUACAGAGAGGUAACACACAGGACCUCACACAGCAGUACAGGGAGGUAACACACAGGACCUCACACAGCAGUACAGAGAGGUAACACAGGACCUCACACAGCAG
Oncorhynchus keta (chum salmon) is the source of this 287-nucleotide long non-coding RNA. RefSeq lists it as uncharacterized. Lineage: Eukaryota; Metazoa; Chordata; Actinopteri; Salmoniformes; Salmonidae. The record is from RefSeq and is a predicted model, not a curated record. The transcript has 3 exons.